Molecule: ribosomal RNA, 253 nt
Filed under: uncultured bacterium
Lineage: Bacteria
Description: partial 16S ribosomal RNA
Rfam family: Bacterial small subunit ribosomal RNA
Source: RNAcentral
UACAGAGGGGACAAGCGUUAUUCGGAAUUAUUGGGCGUAAAGGGCGCGUAGGCGGCCUGGCAAGUGGAAGGUGAAAUCCCUCGGCUUAACCGAGGAACUGCCCUCCAAACUGCUUGGCUUGAGUCCGGGAGAGGUGAGUGGAAUUCCCAGUGUAGCGGUGAAAUGCGUAGAUAUUGGGAGGAACACCAGUGGCAAAGGCGGCUCACUGGACCGGUACUGACGCUGAUGCGCGAAAGCGUGGGGAGCAAACAGG